Molecule: ribosomal RNA, 473 nt
Filed under: Pseudotrochalus quadrilineatus
Lineage: Eukaryota; Metazoa; Arthropoda; Insecta; Coleoptera; Scarabaeidae
Description: partial 16S large subunit ribosomal RNA
Rfam family: Bacterial large subunit ribosomal RNA (bases 347-473)
Source: RNAcentral
GAAUAACUAAAUGGCCNCGGUACUUUGACCGUGCAAAGGUAGCAUAAUAAUUAGUUUUUUAAUUGAAAGCUGGAAUGAAUGAUUGGACGAGAAAAUUACUGUCUCAAGUUGAUUUUAUUAGAAUUUUAUUUUUAAGUAAAAAAGCUUAAAUUUUUUUAAAAGACGAGAAGACCCUAUAGAGUUUAAUAUAANAUAAUAUGUUAAUUUUUUAGUAUUUUUAUAUUAGUAUAUUAAUUUAUAUUUUAUUGGGGUGAUAGAAAAAUUUGAUUAACUUUUUUUAUGUUAAGACAUUUAUUUAUGAUAAAAUGAUCCAUUUUUUAUGAUUAUAAGAUUAAAUUACCUUAGGGAUAACAGCGNAAUUUUUUUUUAGAGUUCUUAUCGAUAAAAAGGAUUGCGACCUCGAUGUUGGAUUAAAAUAAACGUUUGGUGUAGGGGCUAAAUUGUUAAGUCUGUUCGACUUUUAAAAUUUUACA